This 488-nucleotide non-coding RNA is filed under the name Glycine max (soybean). Lineage: Eukaryota; Viridiplantae; Streptophyta; Magnoliopsida; Fabales; Fabaceae. The record is from RNAcentral.
GGUGCUAGGUGGGUAGUGUUAAUCCAAGUGGGGCCACCAAGGUAAUGGAAAAUGGCUACAGAUUUGUUGGGUUGUGGGUUGGACUGGUGGAUUGACCAUGAUGACCUGCCUACUCCAAGUUUGGAAUUGAGUCUCAUUGGGUCUUACACAGGAGCAAAGGCAGUGCUAGACCAAUUUAUUGAUGGGGCCCAAAUAGAAAGAACACCAUCUUUGAGGAGGCCAAGUUUAAGAUUUUUUUAUUCAAAAGGAAAUACAUGGAUUUUUUUUUUUUUGUGGGGGUGGAGAAGGCCCUAUGAGGAUGAAUUAUGCACUGCCUCACAGGAGGGCACCACAUCUAAAAGAAUCCAAGAGUAAGUAUACUCCUAUAACAUCAGUCUGGCUUCACUGAGUAGUGAAUAUUUCUGGCUUCCUACAGUGGAGGGAUAAUGGGCUGCUACUCUUCCAGCCCAACAUGCCCAGUGAGAUAACCGGCUUGGACUGUAAAUUUU